Molecule: ribosomal RNA, 497 nt
Filed under: uncultured bacterium
Lineage: Bacteria
Description: partial 16S ribosomal RNA
Rfam family: Bacterial small subunit ribosomal RNA
Source: RNAcentral
GACGAACGCUGGCGGCGUGCCUAAUACAUGCAAGUAGAACGCUGAAGAGAGGAGCUUGCUCUUCUUGGAUGAGUUGCGAACGGGUGAGUAACGCGUAGGUAACCUGCCUUGUAGCGGGGGAUAACUAUUGGAAACGAUAGCUAAUACCGCAUAACAAUGGAUGACACAUGUCAUUUAUUUGAAAGGGGCAAUUGCUCCACUACAAGAUGGACCUGCGUUGUAUUAGCUAGUAGGUGAGGUAAUGGCUCACCUAGGCGACGAUACAUAGCCGACCUGAGAGGGUGAUCGGCCACACUGGGACUGAGACACGGCCCAGACUCAUACGGGAGGCAGCAGUAGGGAAUCUUCGGCAAUGGGGGCAACCCUGACCGAGAAACGCCGAGUGAGUGAAGAAGGUUUUCGGAUCGUAAAGCUCUGUUGUAAGUCAAGAACGGGUGUGAGAGUGGAAAGUUCACACUGUGACGGUAGCUUAACAGAAAGGGACGGCUAACUACGUG